ACCCCCGCAUUAUUAGUUUAAAUUAAUGUUUUGAAUUUUAUAAAAUUCAAAACAUGUAAAAUUAAAAAAUAUAAUGUAGCAAUAAGUUUUGUAUUGCUAUGCCAUCUGUGUGUUGUAUACCAAAAUAAUAGUGGCCUGCAACAAUAAAGUAAGUUUAGCGGAAGCUGCACAAUAAGGGGAAAGCCUGUCACUAAUGCUAAACAUGCACAGUAAGAUAAAAAUCUGUUAUCACAACAAUAGGAAAUAAAAAAUGACAAGGAAUGCAAGCAUUGGGAGAAGCUUUGAGCUUUGCAAAGUGCUGUAUAUGAAGGAAGGUACCUAAAGGCAUGAAUUUAUUAUAAACAGAACAGAAAAUUUAUGGAACACAUUGCCAUUGGAAGUUGUCAAGUAAACAAAUGUAAACAGUUUCAAGAGAAAAUUAGACAAAUAUUUAGUAUCAAAAAAGUUAA
Non-coding RNA from Hydra vulgaris (swiftwater hydra), 449 nucleotides. Lineage: Eukaryota; Metazoa; Cnidaria; Hydrozoa; Anthoathecata; Hydridae. The record is from RefSeq and is a predicted model, not a curated record.